GUCCCAAAUAGCAAUCUGAUUGUCCUGAAAAGAGGCCAGACGAUAUUCGCCGAACGGGUCCGAGCACGCUCCAUACACUUGUUUGGCGGUAUUUCCGCGUGGUUGCUUCGAAGACUCUAGAUAAAGCAGAAAAAGGGGAGAAAUUCAAAAACCAGAAUAACCACAAAAAUGCGCUAUUAUUACCGCUGCGCGAGCAGUGAAUUGAAAACGAUGCGGAGCAAGGCAGAUCAUUUUCCCCGGCACACGGAGUGCAAUUUUUCUUACCUCUGAUAUCGUAAACCUUCAAACCCUUCCCAAGAAAUCCAGUCAGCAGUGUUUUUGUUUUAUUGUGAAACCAGGAGCAAGACGCCACAUGUUCUCCCGCUCCGAACUCCACAACGGCUUUGGUCUCGUUAUCAACGCGACUGUCGUCCCUGGAUCCACUGCCUCCAAGAGACGUAACCGAGCGAUCAAAUUGGGAUCAGUAGCGUUCCACGCCACGCAAUUGCACGGGCGGAGAUACCGCGGCGCAAAUUCCUUAUUCUGCAGCGUCCGAAAACUGUCCCGGCCACUGGAAUCCUGUUGGAAACCGACAAUCACCACUUUGCCAUUGGCCGUACCAGCUGACAAGAGGCGACCAAAUUCAAAUGUCGGACACCAGUCCAAGCAUCGCACACACACCGAAGCGUUCGAAGAGACGACGGGGCAUGCAUGCGUCCGGUUGGAC
Molecule: long non-coding RNA, 706 nt
Organism: Paramacrobiotus metropolitanus
Lineage: Eukaryota; Metazoa; Tardigrada; Eutardigrada; Parachela; Macrobiotidae
Exons: 3
Source: RefSeq, a predicted model, not a curated record